UACGUAGGGGGCGAGCGUUGUCCGGAGUUACUGGGCGUAAAGCGCACGCAGGCGGUCUGCUAAGUUUGGAGUGACAGUUGGUGGCUUAACUGCCAAAGUGCUUCGAAAACUGUCAGACUUGAGGGCUUCAGAGGGACACGGAAUUCCGGGUGGAGUGGUGAAAUGCGUAGAGAUCCGGAGGAACACCAAAGGCGAAGGCAGUGUCCUGGGGAGUACCUGACGCUCAGGUGCGAAAGCCAGGGGAGCGAACGGG
RNAcentral lists this ribosomal RNA (253 nucleotides) under uncultured bacterium. RNAcentral's name for it is "partial 16S ribosomal RNA". It matches the Rfam family "Bacterial small subunit ribosomal RNA", at positions 524 to 776 of the family's 1533-position model. The record is from RNAcentral.